UUUAUAUGUGGUGCUGAGGAUCGAAUCCAGCGCCCCGCACAUGCCAGGCGAGCGCUCUACCUCUGAGCCACCUCCCCAGCCCAUGGAAAGAUAUUUUUUAAUUCUGUAAUUCAAAGUGGACAGUUUCCCCCCAGUACUUUAAAGAUGCUGUUCCGUCAUUCCCUGGUGCAUUAUUUACGACAGGAAGUCUGCUGUCAUGUCUUUCUUGGUUCCUCUGUAUGUAAUGUCUCAUGGCUUUGAAGAUUUCCUUCUUAUCACUGGUUUGAGCUAUUUGAUUAUAACAAGCCUUAGUAAUUUUCUUCAUGUUUCUUGUGCUUGGGGCUUAUCGAGAUUCUCGGUUCUGGGAACUUAUAGUAUAAAAUUCUGAAUAAUUUUGGCCAUUAAUUUAUUAAAUAUUUUUUUUCGGUUCCCACCUCCCUCUUUCCUCUAGGACUUCAACCACACAUGUCAGACCCCUUGAAGAUCACUGAAUAUAUUGAAAUGGGUUAAUAGCAAGUGAGUUAACUUGAAGACACACAAAUAGAAAUACAGAAAGAAAAAAAAAGACUUAGAAAAUGAACCUGAAAACUCCUUUUUUUUUUUGAAUCCAGGGGCACUUAACCACUGAGCCACAUCCCCAGCCUUUUGUUAUAUUUUAUUUAGAGACAAGGUCUCACUAAAUUGCUUAGGGCCUUGCUAAGUUGCUGAGGCUGGCUUUGAACUUGUGAUCCUCCUGCCUCAGCCUCCUGAGCCACUGUGAUUACAGGCUUGUCCUACCAUGCCUUGCUUGAACCUGUAAACUCUCGAGAGACCAUGAAACAGAACCACUCAGCCUUGCUACAACCCAUUCCUGACCCAAAAAAGACUUGA
This 849-nucleotide long non-coding RNA is filed under the name Marmota monax (woodchuck). Lineage: Eukaryota; Metazoa; Chordata; Mammalia; Rodentia; Sciuridae. The record is from RNAcentral.